Anolis carolinensis (green anole) is the source of this 1416-nucleotide long non-coding RNA. RefSeq lists it as uncharacterized. NCBI's taxonomy places the organism in Eukaryota, Metazoa, Chordata, Lepidosauria, Squamata, Anolidae. The record is from RefSeq and is a predicted model, not a curated record. The transcript has 2 exons.
CUGCUUUGCAUGAUGUUGCUCGUCGUUUACUAUUAGAAGCUAAGGCAGCGCAAAAGACUCAAGCCGACCGUCAUAGACAAGCAGGGGAAGAGUUGGAAGAGGGGGAUUUGGUAUGGUUGUCUUCUAAGUACAUUAAACAGGCUGGGGGAAAGUUUGCGCCGCGGUAUUUGGGACCUUUUCCUAUUGUUAAAAAGAUUUCUUCAGUAGCAUUUCGUUUGCGUUUGCCUUCUACUUUUAAGAUCCAUCCUGUUUUUCACCGUUCUUUGUUAAAGUUAGAUACCUCUGGACGUCGUGGUGCUGUAGCUGAAGACAUCACUGCUGUCUCUCCACCUUUGGAGGAGGAGGCCUUUGUGAGAGGGGAUAGUGUUAUGGUUGAGCCUUAUGGCUCCGAUACUGGGAGACGUGGUCGUAAGACUCCUCGGGAGUCAGAUACUCUCGAGGAGCGAGAAAGGAAGCGGCUGCGGGACUUAUUUGCAGAACCAUCUGACGAGGAUUCCUUUGAGGGUUUUACUGAGAGAAUGGAGGAAGAGAUGGUUAGCUCAGAGGAGGAUGACAUGGAAUGGACUCGUGUGAGGGAGGAUUUGGGUGCCAUUGGCAAUGAUAGUAUGGAAGGCGAUUGGGGACCUUCAGGAUUAGACCCGUGGACAAGCUGGAGGGAUGGGACGGGAUCCACAGCUGGGGAUGCUGUGGGGCGUAGUCAAAGGUGUUUCAGUUCUGAUGAGGAAAGUGAUGAGGAAACGCCUGGAAUUAGGGUAACAGCUGAUAGCGAUGAGGAGCUGUAAACUGGCAUAAAAUGGGGUUUGGAAGCAAUGGCUAAUUGCGUUGGGCAAGGUAAUCUGGACGAACGCUUGGGCUCUGUGUGGGAAAUUCCUGAAGACGGGUGUGAUUCGUUUGCUGACUACCUUGGACCUCCGUCGUCUUCUUGACGGACGCCAUCUGUUUAUUCUGGACUGACUGACUGACUGACUGACUGACUACGGCCUCGGACUCUCCUUCCUGUGAUUAUCGUUGGACCUGGUGAACUACAAACGUCUGUACCUGCCUUACGACCUUCGGACCGGAUUGGAACUUCGCUGACCGCUUCUGCCCUUGAAUGCUGCGUUUGUAUCUGGAAAUUGCUUGCUGUGUGGAGGAGUAACCUCUUAGUUACUCAAACAUAGCUUUUGGCAGCAGAGAAGCAUCUGCUGCCAGUUUUUUGUAUUCCUUUGAACCUUUUGUUCACCAGCUUUUGUUUGUUUUAGUCCCAGGCUGAAGUAAGCUUUUUUGGUUUGACCCGGAUUAAACUCCGGUUUAAUCCGGUUUAUCUUUUGAACGUUUUCCUUGUGUCUUUUUACUUUUAAGGCCAAUGUUUGCCUAGCCCUUGUCUUUUACGGGCAUUUUUGGUUCUGUAACUCCAAUAAACUUUGUUAUAUCUUA